AGUGAACGCUGGCGGUAGGCCUAACACAUGCAAGUCGAACGGCAGCACAGUAAGAGCUUGCUCUUACUGGUGGCGAGUGGCGGACGGGUGCGGAAUACAUCGGAAUCUACUUUUUCGUGGGGGAUAAGGUAGGGAAACUUACGCUAAGACCGCAUACGACCUACGGGGGAAAGCAGGGGAUCUUCGGACCUGGGGCGAUGGAGGGAGCCGAUGUCGGAUUAGCUAGUUGGCGGGGUAAAGGCCCACCAAGGCGACGAUCCGUAGCUGGUCUGAGAGGAUGAUCAGCCACACUGGAACUGAGACACGGUCCAGACUCCUACGGGAGGCAGCAGUGGGGAAUAUUGGACAAUGGGCGCAAGCCUGAUCCAGCCAUACCGCGUGGGUGAAGAAGGCCUUCGGGUUGUAAAGUCCUUUUGUUGGGAAAGAAAAGCAGCAGGUUAAUACCCCGCUGUUCUGACGGUACCCAAAGAAUAAGCACCGGCUAACUUCGUG
Molecule: ribosomal RNA, 492 nt
Filed under: uncultured bacterium
Lineage: Bacteria
Description: partial 16S ribosomal RNA
Rfam family: Bacterial small subunit ribosomal RNA
Source: RNAcentral